RNAcentral lists this ribosomal RNA (440 nucleotides) under uncultured bacterium. RNAcentral's name for it is "partial 16S ribosomal RNA". It matches the Rfam family "Bacterial small subunit ribosomal RNA", at positions 338 to 795 of the family's 1533-position model. The record is from RNAcentral.
CCUACGGGUGGCAGCAGUGGGGAAUAUUGCACAAUGGGGGAAACCCUGAUGCAGCAACGCCGCGUGAGUGAAGAAGUAUUUCGGGAUGUAAAGCUCUAACAGCAGGGAAGAAAAAGACAGUACCUGAGUAAGAAGCCCCGGCCAACUACGUGCCAGCAGCCGCGGUAAUACGUAGGGGGCAAGCGUUAUCCGGAUUUACUGGGUGUAAAGGGAGCGUAGACGGCUGCGCAAGUCAGAAGUGAAAGCCCGGGGCUCAACCGCGGGACUGCUUUUGAAACUGUGUAGCUAGAGUGCAGGAGAGGUAAGUGGAAUUCCUCGUGUAGCGGUGCAAUGCGUAGAUCUUAGGAGGAACACCGGUGGCGAAGGCGGCUUACUGGACUGUAACUGACGUUGCGGCUCGAAAGCGUGGGGAGCAAACAGGAUUAGAUACCCCUGUAGUC